This is a non-coding RNA of Coniochaeta sp. 2T2.1, 76 nucleotides long. NCBI's taxonomy places the organism in Eukaryota, Fungi, Ascomycota, Sordariomycetes, Coniochaetales, Coniochaetaceae. The record is from the annotation of a GenBank genome assembly.
GGUCCGAUGGUGUAGUUGGUUUAUCACUGUCAGUCUAACACACUGAAGGUCCCCGGUUCAAGCUCGGGUCGAAUCA